This 264-nucleotide ribosomal RNA is filed under the name uncultured bacterium. RNAcentral's name for it is "partial 16S ribosomal RNA". It matches the Rfam family "Bacterial small subunit ribosomal RNA", at positions 793 to 1055 of the family's 1533-position model. The record is from RNAcentral.
GUCCACGCCGUAAACUAUGCGGACUAGCCGUCGGGGGCGAUCGAGCCCCCGGUGGCGCAGCUAACGCGGUAAGUCCGCCGCCUGGGGAGUACGGCCGCAAGGUUAAAACUCAAAUGAAUUGACGGGGGCCCGCACAAGCGGUGGAGCAUGUGGUUUAAUUCGAUGCAACGCGAAGAACCUUACCUGGCCUUGACAUGCCGCGAACCCCCGGGAGACCGGGGGGUGCCUUCGGGAGCGCGGACACAGGUGCUGCAUGGCUGUCGU